GAAACAGACAAACUGCUGAAAUGGAAAAUACCAUAGGAAGGGAAUAAUUUAGACAGAGUAGACAGAGACAGUGUUUCUAUGGAGAUCUUUAUUUAAUUACAUUUCCUUUAAAUCAAGACCAGGAACACGUUCCAGAAACUGAUAAAAGACCAUUGGUAUUGGAGCGUAGUGAGUUGGGGGAGAAAGAAGAGUGAAAAAAAUUAUGUUGGAAAAACCAGAGAAGUGAACAGGUUAUGCUAGGAAGGCAUUUGGACCCUGACUCCCCAAAAGAUUCCCUGUUCUAGUUGGCCUUCUAUAUUGGUGGUUUCUGAAUACAUACCCCAAAGAACCUGAGCAUCAGUGAAUUCUGGUAUCUUCUGGGAGCCCUGGAACUAAUCUCUUGAAGAUACCAACGGAUGACUGUGUUUUAAAAGGCGAGAGAGAGAUGUCACUCAGGACUGCUUCCGAAGGAGUUUCCCUUGAAGCUUGCUUCACUGUCUGACUCCUUUCAUACAAGUGGGUAACAUGCCCUUCAUUCAGAACCAAACCUGUGCCCUGGCUUGGUAUAUUUCCUCCACCUGCUGAGCAUCCUCUCACCCUCUACUUUUACCUGGAAGAAAGAAGACAAUAAUAUCUACCAAUCAAGAUGCUGUACCUGAAGCAGAAGAUAACCUGGCAAAGAAAAGAGUAUAGUGCUGCCUUCAGGGAACUCCUAGUCUAGGGGAAGACAGCCAAUAAUCACAUAACUGCUCUAAUCAAAUAUUUCACCAAAAUAAAGUAUUAGCCACCUCCUAGAAUCCAGGCUCUGUUGUAAGUGCUGAGGAUACGGCAAUGAACAUAAAUGCCUAAACUCUGCAGUGUUGGUGCUCACAUUCUUGUAAAUAAAUACACAAUUGUCCCUGCAUGGAGGCCAGGCACUCUAGAAUAUUAGGGGACCUUGUUCUCACAUGGUGGCAUCCCUGGAUAGAUGACACAACUGGCUUUUCUGAUGCUGUUUCAUACUUUGGCCCAGAAUCCGGCAACAUUUUCUGUCAUGAUAAGACAGAGGUUAUGUAGAAAAGGAAACAGACUCACUUUGUAUCUCUUACAGGUUGUGAUCUGGCCAAAAAAUAAUAGCUGUGCCUAUAGCCCUAAGGUGCUGCUUUCUGGAAGCGCCAGAAUUCUGGUUCCUUUUCCUUGGUAUUCCUGCCCUCCUGCUAGUUGACUACAUUUAUAAGAGAAAAGAAUACCAAGAAAUUAGGCAGAACACGUGGAGUGUGUGUCUGUGAAGUGUGUGCCUGUAUAUGUUAGUGGGGCAUCCAGAAGAACGUGGGUGGUGUGUAUGUGUGUGUGUGUGUGUGUGUGUGUGUGUGUGUGUGUGUGUUUGGGGUGGUUGCUGGAAUAUUACUACACUGCAUUCUGAGUGCACAAAGGCAGCAAAAACCCUAGUAGUAUAUUUAGGAGGAAAUCAAUUUUUU
This 1436-nucleotide long non-coding RNA is filed under the name Homo sapiens (human). RNAcentral describes it as "HSALNT0358869". Lineage: Eukaryota; Metazoa; Chordata; Mammalia; Primates; Hominidae. The record is from RNAcentral.